AGGUCGGCUCGCCUAUUGGUGUGGGCAACGGUCUGUAAAACCGCCGCGAUUGCGUUGCUGGUUCAAUUCCAGCCCGACCUACCA
Molecule: transfer RNA, 84 nt
Filed under: Leptolyngbya sp. FACHB-321
Lineage: Bacteria; Bacillati; Cyanobacteriota; Cyanophyceae; Leptolyngbyales; Leptolyngbyaceae
Description: tRNA-Tyr
Rfam family: tRNA
About the family: Transfer RNA (tRNA) molecules are approximately 80 nucleotides in length. Their secondary structure includes four short double-helical elements and three loops (D, anti-codon, and T loops). Further hydrogen bonds mediate the characteristic L-shaped molecular structure. tRNAs have two regions of fundamental functional importance: the anti-codon, which is responsible for specific mRNA codon recognition, and the 3' end, to which the tRNAs corresponding amino acid is attached (by aminoacyl-tRNA synthetases). tRNAs cope with the degeneracy of the genetic code in two manners: having more than one tRNA (with a specific anti-codon) for a particular amino acid; and 'wobble' base-pairing, i.e. permitting non-standard base-pairing at the 3rd anti-codon position.
Source: RNAcentral